This 119-nucleotide microRNA precursor is filed under the name Picea abies (Norway spruce). Its description in RNAcentral is "miR11478 stem-loop (pab-MIR11478)". Lineage: Eukaryota; Viridiplantae; Streptophyta; Pinopsida; Pinales; Pinaceae. The record is from miRBase by way of RNAcentral.
ACUUGCAGGCUCUCUGGGGGAAGCCCAUGUCUGUAGAUUUCAAUUCUAUGGCCAGUAGCCCAAGUAUUGAACUGAAUUGAAUUCUGCAAAUCUGGGUUUCCCCUUGAGAGUCGUAAAGU